AAUAGAUACCCGGGUAGUCCACGCCGUAAACGAUGAUGGCUGGAUGUUGGCGAUACACCGUCAGCGUCUGAGGGAAACCAUUAAGCCAUCCACCUGGGGAGUACGGCCGCAAGGCUGAAACUCAAAGGGGUUGACGGGGGCCCGCACAAGCGGAGGAACAUGUGGUUUAAUUCGAUGAUACGCGAGGAACCUUACCCGGGCUAGAACGCACUCGGAAUGUACGGGAAACCGUACAGCCCUUCGGGGCCGGGUGCGAGGUGCUGCAUGGUUGUCGUCAGCUCGUGCCGUGAGGUGUCGGGUUAAGUCCCAUAACGAGCGCAACCCCUACCGCCAGUUGCCAGCGGGCAAUGCCGGGGACUCUGGCGGAACUGCCGGCGUAAGCCGCGAGGAAGGCGGGGAUGACGUCAAAUCAGCACGGCCCUUACGUCCGGGGCUACACACGUGUUACAAUGGCCGGUACAGAGGGCAGCCACCCCGGCGAGGGGGCGCCAAUCUCGAAAGCCGGUCCCAGUUCGGAUCGGAGUCUGCAACCCGACUCCGUGAAGUUGGAUUCG
RNAcentral lists this ribosomal RNA (554 nucleotides) under uncultured bacterium. RNAcentral's name for it is "bacterial SSU rRNA". It matches the Rfam family "Bacterial small subunit ribosomal RNA", at positions 777 to 1334 of the family's 1533-position model. The record is from RNAcentral.